GCAACCAAACCAACAUAUAUAAUCUUAACACCUACAACAAAUCAGUUUUAACAUUUUCAAAACCUAUUUCAGAUUAUCCAGAGGGAUAAUGCAUUUUCCGAUUUUUUCUACGCUAACGGUAUUGGCCUUCAUCACUGGCAAAGUGGAUUUAAAACUUGUCGACUUAACUCACAUUCUUGGUCCAAGCCCACCCAACUGGCCAGGCGAUCCACCUUAUAUCUUCACAACCUUGUACCGAGAACAAUUCGAUGAUUAUUGGUAUGAAUUAAAUAAGUUUGAAACAGUGGAGCAUAUAGGGAUACAUCUGGACGCAUGAGCACAUUUUUCCGAAGGAUCUAAGAGGGUACACGAAAUUCCAAUGGAAAGUUAGCAGGACCAGGAGUUAUUAUCAAUGUUAAAGCGAAGGUAGCCGAGAAUCCGGAUUACCAAGUUUCCAAGGAUGACUUAGGAGCCUGGGAAUCGAAACACAACAAAAGAAUUCCAAAUGGGUCAGUUGUAAUUAUGAACUCUGGAUGGUCUUAAAAAUUUUCAAACGACUCACUUUUAUUUGGAACCGAGAUGAUGCAAUCACCUUUCAUUUUCCUGGCUGGAAAAAUGAGAGUGUUCACUGGUUGAUUACAGAACGAUUUGUUAAUAGGAUCGGUGUAGACACGCCUUCAACUGAUUUCGGUUAAUCGGCUACUUUUCCUGUACACCAGCGUCUUGGAAAAGGAAAUGUUCCUGGAGUUGAGUUGGUCGCGAAUUUGGACUCAAUUCCGGAAUAUGGGUCUACGAUCUAUGUAGCGGUUAUUAGAAUAUACGAAGGCAGUUGAGGGCCAGCAAGAGUUUUUGCUACAUUCCAAGAAGAUGAAGACGACUACGAGGAUAGCGAAAGUGAAUCAGAUAGCGAGACUAGCGAGGAAAGUGAUUCAGAAUAGAUGUACUGAAAUGUGUUGUAUCUCAGUUGUUUGUACAUUUUCUGUAAAUAGACUAGGUUUUACUUUGCGUGUACAGGCGGGGUUCGAGUUAUAUGUUUUGGGUUACAUUUGUUAUGAAUGAUAAGAUAUUUUCCCUCUGACUACAUGUAUAUAUAUAUAUAUAUAUAUA
Molecule: long non-coding RNA, 1086 nt
Organism: Mercenaria mercenaria
Lineage: Eukaryota; Metazoa; Mollusca; Bivalvia; Venerida; Veneridae
Exons: 3
Source: RefSeq, a predicted model, not a curated record